This 244-nucleotide ribosomal RNA is filed under the name uncultured bacterium. RNAcentral describes it as "partial 16S ribosomal RNA". It matches the Rfam family "Bacterial small subunit ribosomal RNA", at positions 15 to 254 of the family's 1533-position model. The record is from RNAcentral.
GAUCCUGGCUCAGGACGAACGCUGGCGGCGCGCCUAACACAUGCAAGUCGAACGAGCGAGAGGGAGCUUACUUUCUCGGGCGAGUGGCGAACGGGUGAGUAACGCGUGAGGAACCUGCCUCAAAGAGGGGGACAACAGUUGGAAACGACUGCUAAUACCGCAUAAGCCCACAGGUCGGCAUCGACCAGAGGGAAAAGGAGCAAUCCGCUUUGAGAUGGCCUCGCGUCCGAUUAGCUAGUUGGUG